CAGGGAUUGCCCUAGUAACGGCGAGUGAAGCGGCAACAGCUCAAAUUUGAAAUCUGGCUUCGGCCCGAGUUGUAAUUUGCAGAGGAUGUUUCUGGCGCGGUGCCUUCCGAGUUCCCUGGAACGGGACGCCACAGAGGGUGAGAGCCCCGUAUGGUUGGACACCAAGCCUGUGUGAAACUCCUUCGACGAGUCGAGUAGUUUGGGAAUGCUGCUCAAAAUGGGAGGUAAAUCUCUUCUAAAGCUAAAUACCGGCCAGAGACCGAUAGCGCACAAGUAGAGUGAUCGAAAGAUGAAAAGCACCUUGAAAAGGGGGUUAAACAGUACGUGAAAUUGUUGAAAGGGAAGCACUUGUGACCAGACUUGUGCCGGGCGGUUCAUCCGGGGUUCUCCCCGGUGCACUCCGCCCGGUAUAGGCCAGCAUCGGUUCUUUCUGGGGGAUAAGAACGGUGGGAACGUGGCCCUCCCUCGGGAGGGUGUUAUAGCCCGCCGUACGAUACCCUGGAGGGGACCGAGGUUCGCGUUCCGCAAGGAUGCUGGCGUAAUGGUCACCAGUGACCCGUCUU
Molecule: ribosomal RNA, 563 nt
Filed under: Dendrostoma osmanthi
Lineage: Eukaryota; Fungi; Ascomycota; Sordariomycetes; Diaporthales; Erythrogloeaceae
Description: eukaryotic LSU rRNA
Rfam family: Eukaryotic large subunit ribosomal RNA
Source: RNAcentral